RNAcentral lists this ribosomal RNA (385 nucleotides) under uncultured bacterium. RNAcentral describes it as "bacterial SSU rRNA". It matches the Rfam family "Bacterial small subunit ribosomal RNA", at positions 29 to 417 of the family's 1533-position model. The record is from RNAcentral.
ACGAACGCUGGCGGCGUGCUUAACACAUGCAAGUCGAACGAUGAAGCCCUUCGGGGUGGAUUAGUGGCGAACGGGUGAGUAACACGUGGGCAAUCUGCCCUUCACUCUGGGACAAGCCCUGGAAACGGGGUCUAAUACCGGAUAUGACACACGGCCGCAUGGUCUGUGUGUGGAAAGCUCCGGCGGUGAAGGAUGAGCCCGCGGCCUAUCAGCUUGUUGGUGGGGUGAUGGCCUACCAAGGCGACGACGGGUAGCCGGCCUGAGAGGGCGACCGGCCACACUGGGACUGAGACACGGCCCAGACUCCUACGGGAGGCAGCAGUGGGGAAUAUUGCACAAUGGGCGAAAGCCUGAUGCAGCGACGCCGCGCGAGGGAUGACGGCCU